AACGAACGCUGGCGGCAUGCCUAACACAUGCAAGUCGAACGAGACCUUCGGGUCUAGUGGCGCACGGGUGCGUAACGCGUGGGAAUCUGCCCUUGGGUUCGGAAUAACAGUUAGAAAUGACUGCUAAUACCGGAUAAUGUCUUCGGACCAAAGAUUUAUCGCCCAGGGAUGAGCCCGCGUAGGAUUAGCUAGUUGGUGAGGUAAAGGCUCACCAAGGCGACGAUCCUUAGCUGGUCUGAGAGGAUGAUCAGCCACACUGGGACUGAGACACGGCCCAGACUCCUACGGGAGGCAGCAGUGGGGAAUAUUGGACAAUGGGCGAAAGCCUGAUCCAGCAAUGCCGCGUGAGUGAUGAAGGCCUUAGGGUUGGUAAAGCUCUUUUACCCCGGGAUGAUAAUGACAGUACCGGGAGAAUAAGCCCCGGCUAACUCCGUGCCAGCAGCCGCGGUAAU
This 452-nucleotide ribosomal RNA is filed under the name uncultured bacterium. RNAcentral describes it as "bacterial SSU rRNA". It matches the Rfam family "Bacterial small subunit ribosomal RNA", at positions 29 to 524 of the family's 1533-position model. The record is from RNAcentral.